RNAcentral lists this long non-coding RNA (216 nucleotides) under Ricinus communis (castor bean). RNAcentral's name for it is "long non-coding RNA (RCOM_LNC003637)". Lineage: Eukaryota; Viridiplantae; Streptophyta; Magnoliopsida; Malpighiales; Euphorbiaceae. The record is from RNAcentral.
GCCCCGGGUAUGAAGUCUAUUUGAUGUUCUAUCCCUCUUUGAGGAGGUAAUCCACUUGGCAUUUCCUCGGGAAAGACAUCAGCAAAUUUCUGCAAAAGAUUAGCAAACACACUCGGCAAGGAAAGAUCAAGUUCAGUAGUGUUCAAAUAUACAUCUUUAUAAGUAACAACAAAUAACAUCCGACUUGAAUGAAAUGCAUGCCUAACUUCACUUUCC